RNAcentral lists this unclassified non-coding RNA (880 nucleotides) under Zea mays. RNAcentral describes it as "misc RNA Zm00001eb100500". The record is from RNAcentral. Lineage: Eukaryota; Viridiplantae; Streptophyta; Magnoliopsida; Poales; Poaceae.
CUUCGCAUGUCCUGUCCGGCUGUCCCUAUACCUCUCCCUAAAAUGGUAAAGUUGAACAGAUCAUUCGCUCUACCAACAACAUCAUUCGCUCUCUCCUCCAAGCUUCUCCCUGCUGCAUACUGGGUGGAGGGUCUUCAUACAACCACAUACCUCCUUAAUCGACUUCCCACCAAAACCAUCAACGCUUCUAGACUCCAUAUAUCGCCUGUUCGACAUAGAUCCUCCUUAUGCUCACCUCUGUGUGUUUGGUUGUGCUUGCUACCCCAAUCUGUCCGCUACUGCUUCCCAUAAACUAUCUCCUCGUUCUACUCGUUGUGUUUUUUAGGCUACUCUAGUGACCACAAAGGCUAUCGCUGCUUUGACCUUUCCACCAAGUAUUCACAUUUCCCGUCAUGUGGUCUUUGAAGAGGCAGACUUCCCUUUCUCUGCCUCGCCCCAUCCCACUAAUGAUUUAGAUCUUUUGUCUUCCAAUGAUGACGUGGUGGUCUAGCCUAUUGGCACCCACUCACGCCUGCAGGUACUUCGUCGGCUCUUGCUGCAGCAGCAACCCUAGACCCUGGUGUAGCACCGAUGUCCUUGCCUGGCGCUCUUCCCUCGCUUGGCGCAGCACAGUUGCCCCUGUCUGCAGUUUCUCCUCUGUCGGCUGCCACACCAGCAGCGCCCAGUCCCUCUGCGACAGGCGCUGCAGGCACUACACCUUCGCCCGCGCCACGCGUGGCCACGACAUUCCCUGCAUCUUCGCCGACUCCCACGCCACGCGUGGCCACGACACCGCUGGUUACUCCUGCUCCCCAGCAGGCUGCACCUCUCCACCGGCCACCACUUCUGACAUACCAGCGACGUCCUCGCCUACCAACCCUGGAGACUCCUCCGGCACUGC